Molecule: non-coding RNA, 135 nt
Organism: Triticum aestivum (bread wheat)
Lineage: Eukaryota; Viridiplantae; Streptophyta; Magnoliopsida; Poales; Poaceae
Source: Rfam
CUAGUACACCCUCCGUUUCAAAUUAGUUAACUUGGAUUUAUUUAGAUACAGAUAUAUCUAACACUAAAACAUAUCUAGAUAUAUCCGUAUCUAGACAAAUCUGAGUCGACUAAUUCGCGACGGAGGGAGUACAUG